UACAUGUGGGGCAAGCGUUGUUCGGAAUUACUGGGCAUAAAGGGUGCGUAGGCGGCUUGUUAAGUCAGGGGUGAAAGUUUUCGGCCCAACCGGAAAAUUGCCUUUGAUACUGGCGAGCUGGAGUGCGUGAGGGGUGACCGGAACGAGUGGUGUAGCGGUGAAACGCGUAGAUAUCACUCGGAAGGCCAACGGCGAAGGCAGGUCACUGGUGCGCAACUGACGCUGAGGCACGAAAGCGUGGGGAGCAAACAGG
RNAcentral lists this ribosomal RNA (253 nucleotides) under uncultured bacterium. Its description in RNAcentral is "partial 16S ribosomal RNA". It matches the Rfam family "Bacterial small subunit ribosomal RNA", at positions 524 to 776 of the family's 1533-position model. The record is from RNAcentral.